RNAcentral lists this ribosomal RNA (279 nucleotides) under uncultured bacterium. Its description in RNAcentral is "partial 16S ribosomal RNA". It matches the Rfam family "Bacterial small subunit ribosomal RNA", at positions 506 to 784 of the family's 1533-position model. The record is from RNAcentral.
UGCCAGCAGCCGCGGUAAUACGGAGGGGGUUAGCGUUGUUCGGAAUUACUGGGCGUAAAGCGCACGUAGGCGGACUAUUAAGUCAGGGGUGAAAUCCCGGGGCUCAACCCCGGAACUGCCUUUGAUACUGGUAGUCUAGAGUUCGAGAGAGGUGAGUGGAAUUCCGAGUGUAGAGGUGAAAUUCGUGGAUAUUCGGUGGAACACCAGUGGCGAAGGCGGCUAACUGGACUGAUACUGACGCUGAGGUGCGAAAGUGUGGGGAGCAAACAGGAUUAGAUA